ACUCAUCUAGCUCAGUCGGUAGAGCUCAAGGCUUUUAAUCUUAAGGUUGUGGGUUCGAGCCCCAUGGUGAGCG
Molecule: transfer RNA, 73 nt
Filed under: Zea mays
Lineage: Eukaryota; Viridiplantae; Streptophyta; Magnoliopsida; Poales; Poaceae
Rfam family: tRNA
About the family: Transfer RNA (tRNA) molecules are approximately 80 nucleotides in length. Their secondary structure includes four short double-helical elements and three loops (D, anti-codon, and T loops).
Source: Rfam by way of RNAcentral